UGGGGAAUAUUGCACAAUGGGGGAAACCCUGAUGCAGCCAUGCCGCGUGGGUGAUGAAGGCCCUAGGGUUGUAAAGCCCUUUCAGCGGGGAAGAUAAUGACGGUACCCGCAGAAGAAGCCCCGGCUAACUUCGUGCCAGCAGCCGCGGUAAUACGAAGGGGGCUAGCGUUGCUCGGAAUUACUGGGCGUAAAGCGCACGUAGGCGGCUUUCUAAGUCGGGGGUGAAAUCCUGGAGCUCAACUCCAGAACUGCCUUCGAUACUGGAAAGCUCGAGUCCGGGAGAGGUGAGUGGAACUGCGAGUGUAGAGGUGAAAUUCGUAGAUAUUCGCAAGAACACCAGUGGCGAAGGCGGCUCACUGGCCCGGUACUGACGCUGAGGUGCGAAAGCGUGGGGAGCAAACA
This 402-nucleotide ribosomal RNA is filed under the name uncultured bacterium. Its description in RNAcentral is "bacterial SSU rRNA". It matches the Rfam family "Bacterial small subunit ribosomal RNA", at positions 355 to 774 of the family's 1533-position model. The record is from RNAcentral.